RNA transcript from Scylla paramamosain (green mud crab), 4976 nucleotides. RefSeq lists it as uncharacterized. The transcript is spliced from 5 exons. The record is from RefSeq and is a predicted model, not a curated record. NCBI's taxonomy places the organism in Eukaryota, Metazoa, Arthropoda, Malacostraca, Decapoda, Portunidae.
UCAAACCAAACCUAACCACGAGAUGCGCCUCCUGCACCCACAUUAACUAACCUAACGGCAGGCUGGCCCCUAAUCGAACCUGAUAUAGUGACUGCAUCGUCUUAAAUCCCCUUAAUUAAUUAUCAAAUUAUGACCAGUUCAUAAAAAGCUUUACUUUGUCUUCUUCCCGCAAACCACAGUCUCUCUGACACUGCACACACUGACACUCGUGGCAGAACACUGUGUUCAUGUACUGAAGUCAGGGAAUCUUGAAUGAUUUUGUGAAAUGGAUAACACUCACAAAGUAAUAAAAAGAAAAAUUGGAUAAUGCAAGAAACACGUUUGAGCUUCAAGUAAAAACAAGCAGAGCGUCUCACGGCUUGCACUGAGGAAGCCAGCAGGUUACAUGUGGCCCACUCAUAAAGUAAAAAUAUAUACAAUAACACCACAUGCAGUUCAAGAAAAAGUAGCAUUACGCACAACAGUGCAAUGUUGUUGACACACAAAGGCAAGAGAAAUAAUACACAGCAAGUGGUAGCAAAAUUGAAGAAUGUGGUCUGAGUACAGAGUCCACAAUCUUAUGCAGGGAGUGACCUCAUGGAUUAGUUGCUGCUUCCAUCACAUAUGACAAGGCAGUGUCAGACUGUAUGUAUGUACAAGUGCAUUCAUCACUAACACUCUAGACCCAUCCCUGAGGAGACGGAAGUUUGAAUUUAAUGGUGUCAUAGAGAAACACAAUGCUCUGGCACACUACACGUCUUCCCAGCUCCAGACAGAGUCUGCCAGCAAGACAGUGUGCACUAGCAGGCAGGAUCACAAAGAAAAGCAAGGCAAGGAGACACUCAUGAAGGUCGCCUGGCAGUAUGCCUUGCAUUCUAUCCUUGUGCAUUGAAGAGGAGAUUGCUCAAGAGGUGGAGGAAUCACUGCUAAGGAGGAGGGAAUAGUUGGAGUUGGCUGAUGACCAUGUUGUCAGGUGUUGGUGGAGGAUGAUCUUGAAUGCCAUGGUGCUUGUCAUUCUGCUAAGAAGAAUGCCACUCACAAUCCUCUGACUACACCCAAGAGGGGUGAGGAGUCCAAUAAAAGUCCCAGAGAGAAAGAUAGAAAGAUGUUAGAGGAUGCAGCUAUCAGUAUGAAACUUGGACCACAUAGCCAAACCAAAUCAUCCUCAAAGAAAGUUAGGAAAUGAAAGACAUCAGUAUUGAUGACAUUUUGAGUUCAUCUGAAUGGAAAAUACCAGUGAAAAGAUUUAUGAAGAUGAGUGAAAGCACACACUAAAAAGACAAAAUCACUGGGGAAAGCAUCGGACCCAACCAGCAUGGACAGUGAGGCAAGCAGGUCUGGCAGGUGGCAUGAGAACAGAACCACAGAGAGUGAAAGCAGUGCUGUGAUAGCAUGUGACUGGCAGCUGACUGAGAAAAGGGAGGCACAAGAGGAGGGGAAGUGUUCAAGGUGUGGAGGCUAUCAAGAAGGCAAUACAGAUGAAGUAAGAAGAUUGGUUGAUUGAUAAAAAAACAUAAAAAAUGCACUGCAACAUGGUGGUCAUACGGUGGUGAAGGGGGAGCACUUGGUCCAUGCAUCCAACAGGCACCAAACCUUCCAGUGACAGGUGAGCCAUCAAAGUAGGUGGCACUGCUAACCUUGCUUCAAGCCCCGCCACUGCAACAAGGUGACUUCCUAUGGCAAAGGAAAAUAAGAAGUGAUGCCUUCAUUGUAUAUGUGGUUCAGGAAUAGAAUGUAUGCCAACUUGGUGAUCCUGAGACUGCACAUUACUCAAUCUGAAAGAGAUGAAAGGGCAUCACAAACUGUAAGAAUUAAUGCAGGCAGAGAGAAGCAGCACACUAUCAAAACAACAAAGUGUAAGAAUGCUUGCUAAUAAGAGAACAGAGUGAGGACCAGAACAAGCUGUAAGAAGAGAUGUGGAUGGCAAGGAAACAAGCACAUCACCAGAACAGAAACACUCUGUCACAGCAAAAAGGGAAGUAAGAGAUAUUGUGACAGAAAGAUAUGAUUCUCAAAAAGUGUCAGCAGUGAGUCAUGAUAAGCCUGAGGCAACCCCUGAGAGGGAGAGUGACCUGGUGAAGUAUGAGUGCUCAGGAUGUGGAGGCAACAAACACAGCUGAAAAUACUGCACUGCCACCUUUUUCCAAUCAAGAUCACAGUCAGUCUGAUACCCAGAGCCAGAGAGAAGCUUAAUAGAUUCAAGAGCAAACUCGUCUGCAUCUAAAACUAUAAGCACAGAGCACUCAGCCAUUAUGUACAGUGGUACAUAAUGGAGAUCUGUUCUGCCCCUCUGAUUCAUCACACUAGCUCAUGAAAAAUAGUGUGUUCAAGAAAGAUUAGAUCUCUCAGACAUCCUAGAGGCAGAGGAGGAGGAAAGUGAUUGGAGCCUUGGAGAUAAUACCAUCGAGGAACUUGGUGUGAAGAAGUGUGCCUUUUCUUAUUGGUGUCCAAUACUUUCUAACAAAAAUAAACCCAAGAGACAACAAAUCUCCCCACAAAGCUUAUGAUGAUGAUAAGGAAAGUAAUCCUAAUUAUGUAAAUGUAAUGAAAACCACACCCAACCAAUACAUUGUAUAGUUCACUCAAGAAUCAAGUGCUGGUGAGUAGCUGGGUGGUGAAGAGAAGACCUCAGACAGCUAUCAACCAUCCAUCUGACUGCAAGGCACUGGCAGAUAAAAAGGGGAGUAGCAGCAGGCGGCAGUGCAGGGGAGGAAUAUGGACACCUCCACAGCCGAGAUGAGUUCACAAGGCUCACAGCUUGUGGAGACAUCAUUCCACCACCAGGUCAGCACCACCACCACCACCAGCAGGAUGCUCACUGAGAUGUCAUGGCAACACCACCAGCUCCACCGCCAACAAGGCAUCCAGACUGUCCAGACCAUUGCAGCGCUUUUGGAUGGACAGUGAUGAGGAGGCAGAUGAUGGAAGCCUCACCACCAUGCUGGUGUCCAGGAGCACCAUGCCGAGUGCUGACAUCACCUCACAGGUGACCCUGGAGAGGAGCACAGUGCUGCCUGACUACGGCACCCUUUAUGGGAGCACUGGAUGGCAGCUGUCAGGAAGCAGCAGAAGAGCAAGAUACUCUAACUGAGGGUUUCAUAAUAGUUUCAAAGUUGAUAUGCUACAGACAACAGCUGCAAUAAUUUUCUUUUUAAUAUUUAAAGCUGGCUUGGUAAUCUGAAGUGACAUUGAGGACAGAGGCAGGAAGUAGUUAUUAUGUAUUUUCUUUUAUUUUUAAUAUAUUUUUGUUUAUAUUUUAUAAAUGUAGAUACUUAUCUUAAUGAAAAUUUUAUCUCAGUAAUGAAUAAAGAAUUGUCAUUCUACAUAACCUUGCUUCUCAUGCUCACAGGCUGCAAUGUUUCCAUGACCACAUCUUAAAAUGUUUCUGCAUCUUUUCUUGGCCAGUUUUAAUUGCCUCUGUGAAAUUUAUUGAGUCUCCUAAGGAUGCUUUUAUUGAUAGUUUAGCAAGGAUUCUGCAUCACCAAUGAAGAAGAAAAAAAAGAGUGAACUUGUGAUAUCAUUUCUUUAGCCUUUGACAGUAGUCCUUGUAAAUCCAUAGUGUUUCAAAAUACAGUGCACACUUGAAGUGAAUGUGUCAACCUUCGUAACAAUUACAUUUCUCACAACAAAUAUGACAGGUUUCCUCAGGAGGUGAAGAGUACCACAUAGUGAUAGAGGGGAAAAAAUGAUGAAGACUGGUUGUAUAACAUAUUAAUUUUGAUAGUUCAGCUUUUUCUGCAGAGUCCCAACAAGACACAAUAGUGAUAGAAUUUCCUGCAGGGGCCAAUACCAUAUUCAUCCUUUCAUAUAUGUACUUAACAUUGCACUUCAUUCUUCAUCCUCCUGCCUGUGUCUCUUUUUGAUAUGCAGUAAAUUGUAUAUCCCAUCAAAAUCUAUUUAGGUGUAUAAAAAUCUAGGAGACUUCAGAGUGGCACAUGCUUUGCUUCCAGUCUUGCAAUUGCCCACUUCUGUGUACCAGGUGUGGGCAACACCUGCAUUUCUAUAAACAACUUGACCAUUUCAGAUUCUUAUCCAGAAAUAGAUAUUUUUUCCCUGCCAUAUAUAUUGUUAUCUUCUAUCACUAAUUUCAUGCUAACUAACAAUAUGCCAUCCCUGCUCCCAUAGGCUCACUGCACAAGAGUGUAGGGGAGACCAGCGCAAGUUGGCAAGAGUUGUAAGUUGGCACAUUUGAAAUAAUUCCACUAUUUACCACUUGAUAGUGCUGCUACUCACCAACACACAGCAACGUUAGAAGGUCACAUGAUUUGAUUGGAGUGAGGAAAAGUUUAAUUUUGAUGCUGGAUAGUAAAUUUUCACUCAUUUAGAUUGUCUGUUGUAACAUGGAUCUCGUUAUAGAUGAGAGAUAUUCAUUUUAGCCAUAAUUUGUAUUUGGGUUCAAGGAUUGUUUAUCCUUGAAACAGAUCAUAACAAGUUUUUUAAUCUGUACGAAAACCAUUUGUUUAGUGUCAUGGAUGGGGCAAGUUGGCACCUAGAAAAUGGGGCAAAGUGGCACAGCACCAAUUAUAUAUGAAUAACAUUGGCUUAUUUAUUACCUGUCUAUUUUCAUAUUAUAUUUGAUUUAUAUUAUUUUUUGUGAUAUAUAUAUAUGUUGAUAGAUAUAUUAAUUAACUUCCUGAACAAACUUUUAUUUUGUAUUUACAGAGAUGGUUUGAACAUAAAAAUGAACAUGCUUUCCUCAGUAUGAAAAAAAAAAAAAAAAAUUGUUGUUUGAACUGAAUCUUGAUGAAAUUUAGCUUUACAGAUAUUCUGUAUUUAAACUUACAGUUACAUACAUCUAAUUUGCUAUUUAUAUGUGAUGUGCCAAUUGACCCCAUAGCGUGUGCCAACUUACCUGUCAUAUGGAGCAUGUUGGCUCCCUUAAGUUAUUUUUUCUAAGUAAUGCAGAGCUUUAGUUUGAAAAGAACCAUGUUUUUAUUUCAUGAAAAAUAAGAUGAAUGUUUAUGCUUUUCAAUGAAAACUUAAACAAACGAAAAUUC